CAUGCCUAUCUGCUCAUCUAACUGUACUGAUCGCUUCUGAUUCGUUAGUCUUCUAUGAGCAACUUCAUAGUUCUAUUCGAUGACUGCUAAGCUUCAUUUCUGCCGCCUCCAAAAUGUUUGUUUGCUUUUGUCCUCCCAAAAGGUGGUGGCUUUUAUUUUCAUCUUUAUUUUUACCAUGUUUUAUUCAGUAAAAAGUUUAUUAAAAGAAAACCCAUAAACCUGUAAUGAUCUUUUACAGUACCUGAAUCUUUUCCCCCCAUAAAACUACUAAUUCGGCUACCUGAGAUCAUGAUGACGACCCUUUAACUUGUCAUUGAAGAUCUGUACAAAAUAAUUAGAUCUAUAUACAGAGGAUUUGUUUGAUGAAGUUUUGAUCUUGUGGAUUUUAUAAAUAAAACGACAUUGUAAUUGGAAUUUCCGGAGACUAGUGAAUCUUUAUCUUUCCCUAUGCAGACCCUUUGUUUGAGCCUCUAAAACUAUUGUUGAACUUGAAUGAAUGAAAUGAAAUGUGAUUCAAGUGUUUUCCUGAAUUUAUGUGUUGAAUAUUCCAAAUUUAUUGAUGACAUGUGCAUAACACUAAAUUGGUUGCGUCUCAUAUGUAUUUUCCCAAUGUCCUAAAAUAUGUCAAUGUUGGUUAUUCAUUCAAAAUUUUAUGAAGAUAAUAUGUUACAAAUUACCGUGUGUACAUGGGUUGAAGAUAUUUCACCUUCCCCUUUCUCAUUCAAUGUCUUUUGGUACAGGAGAUGAAAUGACGCGAGUUUUCUGGAAAUCCAUAAAGGAUAAGGUGGCUACAUCACACUCUUAAGGGCUCCCAUCAAUACUAGUUUUUCUCAAUAUAUACUUUUUCUGAUCAAGAUAAAGAUUGCUUAUAUGCUUAUUACUUGUAUCUGCAGCUUAUUUUACCCUUUUUGGAAUUGGACAUCAAGUACUUUGACCUUGGUCUUCCUCAUCGUGAUGCCACUGAUGAUAAAGUUACUGUUGAAAGUGCAGAGGCUACUCUUAAGUACGUUUUAUUUCAACUCUACUUGAAGUUCUACAAAUGAAUAUUUAUCUCUGAAGUCAACAUUUCUAUCUCUAAUGUGGUGUGGGUUAGUGAUUAGUGAGUUAGGAUGGUGAUUAGGCAGUACAGAAAGUUGUUUUAUGCUACCCUUUUGGCCUUAUGGAACCUCCUUCCUGCACCUUAUAAAGACGGGGUGGAGGGUGAGAGAAUUCAGUUCCCGAGUGCAUUCAAUUCACAUCAUAUGUUUGUGUACAAGGGGGAAAAAGAAGAAAAAAGGGAGCCUAAAGUAUGUUUUUUAUUUUCACGUAUUAUUAUGGUAUUAAUUUUGCAUCUCUAACACUUGGUAUUUUAGGUACAAUGUAGCAAUCAAAUGUGCAACUAUCACUCCAGGUAUACACUACUGAAGAAUUUAACACUUCUGUUGCCAUAUUAAUAUUUUCAGUCAGCACUGAGAAAUGGACGAAUUCCAUAUUAUUGUGGUUGUAAUUAACAGAUGAAGGUCGUGUUAAGGAGUUUAACUUGAAGAGUAUGUGGAGGAGUCCCAAUGGCACUAUUAGGAAUAUUUUGAAUGGUUAGUGAACUGGCAACUAUACAUUUUCAUCUUUUGAACAAUUUUGUGGCUAAAUUACAAUGGCUGCUGGCUUUUUCUACAGGUACUGUUUUCAGAGAACCAAUUCUUUGCAAAAACAUCCCUCGCCUUAUCCCAGGUAUGAUAAUUUCAUAUUGUGGCUCUAUAUUUUUGUUGGAGUAGAACCAUGUUGAUUGUUGCUGUUUCCAGGCUGGACAAAGCCAAUAUGCAUUGGAAGACAUGCUUUCGGUGAUCAGUAUCGAGCAACUGAUGCUGUCAUUAAAGGACCUGGGAAACUGAAAUUGGUGUUUGGUAUAUAUCUUUGCUUGAGACUAGGGGAUUUGUAUACAUAAAAUUUAAUCUAGUUAGGAUUAUCUAUUCAAAGUACAUCUUGAUAAAAAUAAAAAUAAAGUUCUUACAUUCCUUUAGUUUCUUGUCUUAUUACUUGAUAAAUGCUUGCAGUGCCAGACGGAAAGGAUGAGAAAACAGAACUAGAGGUGUACAACUUCACAGGUGAGGGGGGAGUAGCAUUGGCCAUGUACAACACUGAUGAGGUUUGGUUUGCUAAUCCUUUCGUGUUUCCGUUGAAAGAACCUCUUGAUAUCUGUGAGUCACUCUGUUUGUUCCUUUUGUUGUAUGUGUUUCUUCGGCAUGCAGUCCAUCCGUGCUUUUGCAGAGGCUUCCAUGACCACUGCUUAUGAGAAAAAGUGGCCUCUUUAUCUUAGCACAAAGAACACUAUUCUUAAGAAGUAUGAUGGAAGGUAUGCAGAUUAUAAAUUACCCUGUUUUUAAGUAUUUGACCUUUAACAUUUUGACUUAUCAUUCUCUGACCUAUCUAUAUUUUUGUUUGUUAAUGAGAUAAGAUUCAAGGACAUAUUUCAAGAAGUUUAUGAAGCCAAGUGGAAGUCACAGUAUGAGGCUGCUGGCAUAUGGUAAGGACUGAAGAGCCUGAUGAUUUUAUUUCAUUUUUAUUUAACAUUAUGGAUCUUCAGGUUAAAUUAUGUUAUUGACUAUAUUUUAUUCGAUUGGAAGGUACGAGCACCGUCUCAUUGAUGAUAUGGUGGCUUAUGCACUUAAAAGUGAUGGUGGGUAUGUUUGGGCAUGCAAGAAUUAUGAUGGAGAUGUGCAGAGUGAUUUCUUAGCUCAAGGUUUGUAUGGCAGACUGUCAGCUAACUUUUGUUUCGUCUAUCAUCAAAGAUUUCGUAUGCAGAGGAAUGCAAUUUUUAACUUAUGGUUCCAUUGUAGGGUUUGGCUCUCUUGGAUUGAUGACAUCAGUACUGGUAUGUUAUAACUGUUUCAUGUGUAUACUCUCUCCCCCAUCCCCUCUCCCGUCCUCUGUCAAGAUUCUUUUUUGUCAUGUGAAUCCUUGUACUUCACUUACUAGGGUAUUUCAUGGUUACAGGUGUGCCCAGAUGGAAAGACUAUAGAAGCAGAAGCUGCCCACGGUACAGUUACUCGGCAUUACAGGGUUCACCAGAAAGGAGGUGAAACCAGUACAAACAGCAUAGCUUCUAUCUUUGCUUGGACAAGAGGGCUUGCACACAGGUAUGUUAUAAAGUUUACUUUCCAAGUUAGUGCUCCUUGUGGAUAUAAGGUUCAUUGUUAAAAUGAUUAAAUGUGUCUUCUUGACAGGGCAAAGUUGGAUGACAAUGCAAAGCUUUUGGAUUUCACUCAGAAACUGGAAGAAGCUUGCAUUGGAACUGUGGAAUCUGGGAAAAUGACCAAGGAUCUUGCACUCAUUAUUCAUGGACCUAAGUAAGUAUCAAAAAAAUUAUUAUAUCUUCAUAAUAUAUGUCUCUGCUGGUGUGUGGGUUAUGUUUAUUUAUUUGUAUGUCUCUAUAUGAGCAGUGAUUUCAUUUAUAACAUGCUUAUGUAUGCUGCAGGCUUGCUAGGAACCACUACUUGAAUACGGAAGAGUUCAUUGAAGCUGUGGCAGAGGAACUCAGAGCAAGGCUUUCUUGAAAGAAUAGUUGUACGUGAGGGGUUUGCAGACUUGACUCUAUGCAUUGGUUGUUACUUCCUUGCCCAUUUUAUGCUUUAUUUUUUCUGCUGUUUAGAAAAUUUAUCUUAUGCUUAUGUAAAAUAGCGUUAGCUAAAACCUGUCAUAGGUGGCAACUUUUAAUACACAUGAUCUGAAUUUGAUGUGAAAUAUGAAUUGCCAUUUGGAUAUUGUUAGCUGCUCUUAUUUCCUUGUGAUUUUCAUGUCUUCUGUAGAAACUGUCUUACCCUCUCCCUCUUUUCUUCAUUUUUAGAAAUAUCUUUCUCAUUUGAUACUUGCAUUUAUGCAUUUUUUUAAAAGUUAAUGAGUGCUGGGUUUUGUUUCAGGGAUAGACAACUGUGGACUUGUCCUUUUGUACUCCCGAAAGAAAUAAUGGAAGGCGGAAUCUUUCCCCUCUGGUGGUUAGAGAUGUUGACUCAUCUGUUUUUAGUGUAUUAGUUUCUUGUGCACAAUUUAAUUGCUCGACUCUUACUGAUUUGAAUGUUCUUUCUUCAUCAGUUUGCUUCCGCAAGCAAGUUUGACCUUUUUCAUGGCUAAGCCAAUUUUAGUGAUUUCCAGCAAGAAAUCAAGUUUUAGAAGCUCUGUUUGCAAAAAUGACAUUUGAAAAUCACCUCUGUGGUUUGUAGCCCAAGUGUGUAAUGGUUCUGAUCUUUUCUUGGCUAUUUCAAGAACAGACAACUUAUGGUCUCUGAAGUUCAUUUGAAAUUUAGAACCAUGCAAUACAGUUCUGAUCUUUUUCAUUGGUCAGAUUUCGAUUCCCAUUUCAACCGAGAUAGGAAAGCUAUGAGAUUGCAAUUGAAAUUUUUGGUUUCCUGCUGCAAAAAUUGCCUACUGCGGGCUUUUUUAAAACACAAAUGUUGAAGAACGAAAUUUUAGACUUGGAAUUACUAAAACCAACAGAGGUUGUGUGUCUGAUUUCCUUGCAAACAGAUUUGAACAAUCAUUGGUAAAUCCAUAUCCGGAAAAGGACAUAGAAUGGUUAAGCCUAUUGAUCUCCAUGCCCUACUGCUACCGUAGUCAUUAGGUAUAAGAUAGAAUGUUGAUUUUAAGUGCACUCUCCCUAUUUUCUCCAUGCAGAACCCGCCGUAUGGAGAUGUAAGCAUAAAUGGAAAUGUAGAACUUUUGUACAUUCUCUGAUGAGAUGUAGGUUUGACAUAACAUUUCGGAGUAUUGGAGUGUAAUUUUAGGUGCCUGGAUGUGUAAUUGUUAUUCAGAUUGAGAUGCUCUUAUUCUCGCACGGUGAUAAACCUGACCUACAUUUCUAUGACGAUAUUUAUUGCGAGGCUCUAGUCAUUUUCAGCAGGGGCGGUCCUACCCUAAGGGCAAUACAAUCAAUCAAAUUUCUUCUGUCUACUCAAACUCAACCCACCAGGGGUGAUCAUACCCUAAGGAUAGAGUAGGCAGCUGCCUACUCCAUUUUUUGCCAAACGAAAAAUUACCCAAUACAAUCAAUUUUCUUCUGCCUACUCAAACCCAACCUACUCAAAAUUUUCCCUUUAACAAAAACAGUAUCCCCACCCACUCAAACUUUCUCCUUUAACAAAAACAAUCAAAAGCAAUAUAAGCAUGUGAAAGUUGUAUGAAUUUUUUUUUCAAUGCUGACUAACAUUGUGAAUUUUGUUAGUGCUUCUGCUAAGCGCCGUAAUAAGUUAAAUUUAAUUCGAAAAGCUCAACUCAAAGAGUAGUUGGAUUCUUGGGAACUUGAGACAGGUAGAGGACUUAAUCAAGGUCGUAGUUUGAAACGAGCUGGAGCCACUCGUUGGGGAUCUCACUUUGCCUCUAUUACAAGUUUGAUGAGUUUAUUUAAAGAGACUAAAAUACUUCUCUAGGAAAUCAAUGAUUAUGGACCUAACCAACAAUUUCGUGGCGAUGCAUGAUGUAUUUUGAGUUUGUGUUUUCAUUUCUUUUGAUGGAUAAAAUUAUGGGAUUAACCAACUUUCUUUGUCAAGUGUUUCAGACAAAAACUCCAGAUAUUGUAAGUGCUUUAAACUUUGUUGAAAACACAAAAUUACAGUUCUAAGAUAUGAGGGCACAUGGCUGGGAUGAUUUAUUCAUGAGCGUGGUAUCAUUUUGUAAACAACAUGAUAUUGAUGUUCCUGAUAUGAGUUUUUGUUACAUGAUUGGCACACGUCGUUCUUGUCAACAAAAAGAUUUUAUUACAGUUAAACAUUAUUAUCGCGUUAAUGUAUUUAAUGAUGUGAUAGAUUGCAUGUUGAGGGAGUUAAAUGACAGAUUUCCAAAGCAAACAGUUGAACUUCUUAUUCUUGGAUCCUCAUAAUUCCUUCAAAUCAUUCAAUAUUGGGCAUCUACGUAAACUUGUUGAGAAAUUCUAUCAUACUGAUUUCAGUCCAAGUGACUUGAAAGCUUUAGAAAUUGAGUUGAACUAUUUUCAAAAUGAUAUUCAUAGCCUUCCCUGCUUUAAGGACCUCACCACUCUUCCUCAGUUAUGUCAACAAUUGGCGGAAACAACUUUGGCAGAAAACUACCAUUUGCUUUACAAGUUGAUUCAGUUGGUGUUGACUCUUCCUGUUUCUACAGCAACAACGGAACGAGCUUUUUCAUGUAUGAGAAUUAUUAAGAAUAGACUUCAGAGCACCAUAGCUGAUGAAUUCCUUAUUGAUUGCAUGAUUCUCCACAUUGAAAGAAAGUUUGCUAAUAAUAUCGACAAUUAAGAUAUAAUUGAGGAAUUUAAGAUUUCUAAGCCUCGUAGGGUAAAGUUUUAGAUUUAAAUAGUUUAGUUUUGUGUUGCAUUGCAUUUACUCUUUGUUUUUUUUGUUAAGCUUUUAUUUAUGUAUAGAUAUGCAUACAUUACGUCCCCCCUGACUAGAUGUAUCUUUUUAUUUUUAUAAAUAAAAUUCACUCAAUUUUUAGGUGGUGAUUUUUCCACUCCCUUUUUAUCCCCUACACUCUCUUUUGUUUUUUUUUUUAAAUACUUUUUACUAUAAGAUAAAAAGGAGUGUAAUUGAACCAAAGAGGAGUGAGAACAUACAAUUUUUUUAAAAAUGGAGUGUAAGUGGAUAAAAAGGAAGUGGGAAAAUUAGUACCCUUAUUUUUUAAUUAAAAUUUAGCUAAAAACACUAAAAACUAUUUUAGGAGCUACUUAUAAAAUUUGAACUCCAACCAUGCUCCCUAGGGAAUCAUAAAUGAUUUAUUUCUUUUUUAAGUUUAGCAUAAAUGCUCCCUCUUCAUAUUAAAAAAAAAAAUUGUGGUUAGCAUUAAAUAAAUACUUAAAAUAGCAUUAAAGUAAAGCAACAUUUAAUUAUAAGGAGGCACUAGGAGUCAUUUCUCUCUCCUUAGAUUUAGGAGUUCCUAGAAGUCUCCCUAUUUUAGGAGUUGGAGCAUGUUGGAUGUGGAUUUUCUCACUUCUUCCCUAAAUUUUAUCUAAGGAGGUAGUUUAGGAAAUCCAUUAAAGGAGGUCGGUUGAGUUCUAAUGAUAGUGUUACUUUCAACCAUGAGUGCCAUUGAAUGGUACUUGAGUCCAUAGGGCCAUAAUGUGGAUGACGUCGGGAUCAAUCUCACCUACACUUCUAUGAUGAUAUUCUCUAGUCAUUUUCACCUUUUGCUUGAUGGAGAUAGUCUCCUUAGGCAUUUAAGAAGUUGGAAGAAAACUAGGCAUUAAAGUGAUAAAAAAAGAUUACGUUUUUUUGUCAAAAGUAAUCAUAAAAGAUUAGUUUGCAAUUUUGAAUGAGAGAAUUGUUGCAACUUGCGUAUUCAUGAAGCCAGAAAUGUUUUCCAGGAAUGUUUGCAAUUUGGCUAUCUAGAAUAGAUGCAUUUCCAUAAGCCAGAAAGGUUUUCCAGGAACCUUAUUGUAAUUGCUAGUGCUUCUUCUGAAAAUACCUUUAUAUCCAUAAGUACUUCUAAAUUAUACUGCCAAAAACACUUAUUGAACAGUUUUAGUCAUUCCAGAAGCACUUCCAUAUGUAUUUCUAGGGAUGGCAAUGGGUCGAGUAGGGGUCGGGUAUAACAAUACCAUUCCCGUCCCCGCUCUCCAUCCCUGCCCCCGUCCUUGAACCCAUCCUCGUUUAAUAGUUUUUGGGGAAUCCCUGUACCCGUCCCUGUCGGGGACUAUCCCCCAUACCGGCCUUGAAUACCCGAUUCUUUUUGCAAAAAAAAUAUUUAUCAUACAUUUUAACAUUAAGUUUCAUAUUAAAUUAUCAUUCAACACAUCCAAAUUAACUAUAAAGUUCAACCCAACUAUUCAAAAUCACAUCAAUUCAAUUUGACAAAACAUAUAUAUAUAUAUAUAUAUUCCACCUAUGGAAUUCAAUUUGCUACAAGUUGCGUAUUUCCACGCUUAAGUUGCUAAACAAUGGAAUUGUCAAUUUCUCUUCUUAAAUUCCCAACUUUUAGCUAAAUUUCAAGUUAUUUUCUUUCAUCCAAACGAAUGGUUAAUGUAAUUGCCAAGAUUUAAAAGUCAUUAGAUAGCCGAGCGACUUUAUUGGGAUCUCUCUCUUAUAUAUAUAUAUAUAUACAUAUAUAUAUAUACUAGGAUCCUUUUUUUCCCCCCGAUUUUUGUUUAUCGAUAAGAGUAGUUUAGAGCAUUAUCUGUUACUAUUAGGCCAUUAACCAAGUCUCUAUCGUCCCCAGUAUUUUUUACUUUUUCAAAGUUAUUACCGUAUAAAGAAUUUAGCAUUUUAACCUUUAAUACUAGUGUUAUACACAUACGUACGUCUUUUUCAAUACACGUCUUAAAGACUCAAUUAAAUACACAUUUUUUUAAAAACAAAUGUACAAUACUCUUAUUUUACACAUACGUAAAUAUUUUUCAUGUUUAAUACAUUUUUUUUAUACAAAAUUUUCAAUAAUACACAAAAAAUUCACUUAUUACACAUAAUUUUCACAUAUUGUUGAAUAAGUAUAAUAUAUAUUAAAAUAUUAUAUAGUGGGUGAACUUUUCAGUUGUAAUUUGCCAAAAUUUUGAAGAAUAAAACACGUAUGUAUUUAAUUUGUAUUUUUCCCGUUCCGUAUUUUACUAACUAUGAAAAAAUUUAGUAGCACUAGAGAGAACGAGGUAGAUCAAAGACAAACAUUCCCACAAAAAAACAAAAAGAAAAAAUUGAACUGUAAGAUUCAUUUACUGUGAAAUUUCUAUAUCUUCAAAAUAUGCUUUAGAUAUGUUGAAACUAGCAAAUGAAUAUCUACAAACUAAUGCAUUUUUUUUAUAAAAAAAAUUUCUUUUAAUAAAAAGUAUCGUUGCGCUGCUAUACCUUUUAAAUGUAAUGUAUUUAAUGCGUAUUGCCGUAAGGCUAUACUAUGGCAUUUUUUAUAAAAACAAAAUAGUAUUGACGUGCGGCUAUGCUAAGGUUUUUAUUUAUUUAUAAAAUAGUAUAGUCGCGCUGCUAUACGUUUUUUUGGACACGUGGUGUCCAAAUCGAUAGGCGCUUGGCGGGUGCUCUUUUUUUAAAUUUUAUAUAUAACUUUUUUUUCUUUUUAAAAAAUAGUAUAGCCGCUAGGCUAUACUUGGGUUUUUAUAUUUUAUAUUUUUUAAAAUAGUAUAGACGGUCGGCUAUACCAGUCUUUUUUCAUUUAUUCAGUUUUUAAAAUAGUAUAGCCGCACGGCUAGACCCUGCUUUUUAUUUAUUUAUGUUAGACCUUUUUUUUAACACGUUGUGUCCAAAUCGCUAGGCACUAGGCAGGUCCUCUUUUCGUAUUAUAUAUAUAAUGUAGCAGCGCGACUAUACGUUCUUUUUUAGUUUUUAAGGCUAUACCCUUCUUUUAUUUAUUUAUUUAGUUUUACAAUAGUAUAGCCACACGGCUAUACGCGGCUUUUUAUUUAUUUAUUUAGUUUUAAAAAUAGUAUAGCCUCAUGCCUAUACAAUUUAUAUAUAUACUAGGAUCCCUUUUUUUUAAAAAAAAAAAAAAUUUCCCUGAUUUUUGUUGUCCAAUAAUAGUAGUUUAGAGCAUUAUCCAUUACUAUUAGGGCAUUACUUGAGUCUCUAUUGUCCCCUUUUGAUUUUUAACUUUUCCAGAGUUAUUACUCAUAUAAAGAAUUUAGCAUUUUCACCUUUAAUAAGCGUAUAAUACAUAUAGUAAGUAUUUUUCAAUAAUACAUCCGUUUUAUGUACAUAUCUUAAACACUCGGUAAAAUAACAUUUUUUAAAAAGAGAACAUACAAUACAAAUAUUGUACACAUGUAUGUAUUUUUCAUGUUUAAUACACGUGUUUAGAGCAUUAUCAAUUACUAUUAGGCCUAAUCGCUCGGCAGGCACCUUGACGCUAGGUGGGUCCUCUUUUUUCUUUUUUCUUUUUCAUAAUGAAUUUUAGAAAAUCCAUCGAAUCAUUUUGGUCACAUUGAAUUAGAUCUUCAAACAUCUAUAAUUUUGAAGAUAAUAAUUUUUAUUUAGAAACCUAAAACAUUUUCAUUUUAGUUUUCAUUUUCUGGGUAUGACAUCUUUUUAUUUGAAGGGCUAAAAUAAGAUAAUGGACGCCAUAUAUCUUUAUAUUACAAUUUGAUUUCUCAACUGAUAACCAAAAGUAUCUUAUUUUAUGUUACACAAAGAAAAAGAAAAAGAAAGAUCAACCGUUCCAUGUCCAAAAAUACAGCAUUGUGUGUGCCCACAGUGGCGGGGGCUUCCCCUUUCCUCCCCUAGCACUCCAAAAAAUUAAAUAAGGACACUUACGUUGAACUAUACAAGUGCCCAAAAAAAAAAACAAAAAAAUUAAAGACAUUUCACAAAAGAACUUCACAUUAGGUAGAAGAAAUCACUGACAAGAGGAAACAAUCAAAAUGCCCCUAACAGCACAACCUUAUCUUUUCAUACAUAGUAUACAGAAGAAGCUUGACCUUUGCCAUCCAUGAAAGCAGCUGUAGAACCUCUGAAAAUUGAUCAGCAUUUUAGUCAUUUCGAAUUUUUUUUUACUAGAUUGUUAGAUAGAUGAAAAUCAAAUGCAUUCUUACCAAUAAUAAGCCUUAACCUAUAGUAACUUGCAUUUGCCUUCAAUCGGGAGAACACAACUUUCAGAGCAAAAUCUGAAAGCAUAAUCAGAAUUAAGGAAAUAAAUUAUAGUUACAAUGUAACAGAAGAUGACAUGGUUGAAAACUAACUCUAGAAUUGUGGUCUAAAAUUGUGGAGUAAGGAUAACUUAUUCGGUUUUCAUUAAGUCCUAAAUGUUCAGAACAAAUAAUUAGCAUGAUGCACGUGUGUUUUAGAUUCCCAAGUUGGAGUUCAGUAUUUGUACUUGAACAUUUGUUUUUCUUUGAAAAGGUUUGUCUUCUCCAACUUACUAGAAAGUUGUUCCCGAGUCAGCAAAUGAGUUUCCAGCUUAAACUUAAAAAGUGCCGUUCCAUAAAGUAAAAAAGAAAUGCAAUUGGACAAAAGUAAAUGGAAUUAUACGUCAAAAUUUACCAGAUUCAGGAUUCAACUUUGGAGAAAGACCAUAUAAUGCAUAUUUGCCAUAGGCUAGUAACCUGACUCUUUGUGGAGCCCCCAACUUGCUAACAAUAGACCUCAGCAGCCCACUGGAUACGGAGAUAAAAAUACAGCAAUUAGAGAUUUGAACAAUCUCAACUUGCUAACGAUAGAACCCAGUAGCCCACUGGAUAUGGAGAUAAAGUUACAGGAAUAAAGAAUGUUAAGAAUAUCAAGAGGCAUCAUACGUAGAGAGAUUUCAUUCUUUUACUUACUCAGUACGCAAUAUUGUGAGAAAAUCUGAUGGUAAGGAUUCCAUAAAUGAAGAUAUGUCUUCCAUCUUCAGGGACUUCAGCUCCUGCUUUAGAUUACGUCUUUCUUCAACUGACAUUGCCUUCCCAAGAGCCGAUUUACUGCAACACAUGGUAAAAGUGCAAUUAACUCACCAUUGUACUUUGUUAACAUGAUCACAAAUGCUUUAUUGCAGGAUAUAUUAAUUAUAUAAAAAGGAAAAGAAGAUAUAGAUUCAGUAUCAAGUGGAAAUCCUUCUUGGGAUAGAUCCUUAGUACUAAAACUAGCCUCACAUCAAAGUGAAUAUCAUCUAUGAGGAUUAACACACGAAAGAGGUGCAUCUAGUAUCUCUUUGAGCCACUAUCUUUGUCACUUCUAAAACAUACUCACAUGCAACAGACACAAUCAUACAUACAAAUGCAUGCACCAGUGAAUGAGAGAGGGAUAUGUAUACAUAGAGAGUUUUUCUCUUAAACGAAAGUUCAUUAAGGAACAGACACAGGCACUGUGUGGCCGCCAGUCGCCCAGCCGGUGCAAUUUUUUUUUUCUGCCAGUUCCAUGGCAACAUUAAUUGGUUAUAUUUUAGGUUUAACUCUUGAGUUUUGGGUGGUACCCUAACUAUGUAACCCUGUCACCAAAACGGGUGACACAAUUUUUUACCCACAUUUUGACACAUAUUCUAAGAAAUUAGAUUGAGGCACUUUGAAUGGCUGAGAUUAAUGAUAAAUUGGGUUUUUAUUUCUUUAAUUAAUGUGCACUGGGAAUACCAAUAGUUAAUAACUUUUCAAAUGUAUUCUUCUCUCUCCUCUCUCCCGUGUUUCCUCUUUCUUUAAUAUCCUUCUUCUCUUUUUUAUUUUCCUGUGAAAAUCCUUCGUGUGGCCUUCUGCAAACGAUGACGAUGAUGCUCUCACACCCACACCCAAAUACACAAUGUACUUCCAAUAAUUUUCUUUUAUAUAUAUGGACAUAUUAAUCAUUUAAGCUCAAGGUCCCUACAUGCAAGGAUGAAUAGGUGGAAAGGGCACGUAUCAAGGUAAACCUAAAACAGUGAGGGCAAUUUAUAUUUCUAGGGAGCAGAACUGGCUAGUCACUGACAAAAAGUAGAAAAUUUAAAAGCAAUCAAUCACCUGUCAAUAGUUCUUCCCGUAAAAAUGACAGGAAAGUAUCUAGAAUACUUUGCAACACCAAACCGUUCACCCAAACGCUGCAAGUUUUUUGAGUCCAGAAGAAUUAAUGCCUUCCAGAGCUGACAGUAAUCCAACCUAAAUCCUUCAUCCAAUUUUUUGUAUAUUCCAUGGUCUAGAAUAACUGCAUGGCCAAAUUGUGGACAGUAAAUCACAUCACAAGCCCAACAAUACAAGCAAUUUCAACUGAGACAAUUACCUACAGGGGUUAUUUUCAGCACAUACCCAAAGAAAAGCCAUUCUGACCUUCAGGAGAAACUAAUAUGUUACCAGGGUGUGGAUCUCCAUGCAGGAAACCAUGGAUGAAAAUCAUUUCGGCAAACACUUCCAACAACACUUCUGCCACCUAUAAUACAAACUAAUCAGAAUUAAAAAUCAUUAUCCUAACUGCAAUUGGCUUUACCAAUUAAGGCAUUUCAGAUCAUUCAGAAAAAAAUAAAAAAAUAAAAAAUAAUAAUAAUAAUAAUAAAAAUAAGAGUGGCCUGACACUUACACCCAGCAGACACAAAAUAAAGAGAAGCAAUUAAAAAAACAUUUUCUCAACUGCACAAGGAUUUAUCAAUGUGCAUGCAUGGAGAUGUAUGACCUGAAGUAAAGAUGCACGCACACGCAUAGACACAUACUUCAAAUAAGAUAUUUAUGCUAAAACCUAGUUUGAAUAAGACAUAGGGGCUGAAAUGAGCUGAAAUGCACAUUGGUAUCUUGGUUUGGUUCUACCCAAUGCUCCAAUACUGGCCUAACUAGAUUUUCUCAAGCCCAAUUGGAUUACAAAGAAACGACUCUAGCCUGCCCAACCAUAUUUUGACUAGGCUCAAGGCUCAUAAUCCUCAUUCGCUAUUUCUGUUUAAUCUUGUCUAUCUGAUUUAGUUCAUACGCGUGCAUAAAAGCUUAGAAGACUGCUGCCUCAAGCCCCUAAAAAGUCAGCCACCAAACCAAGCUCCAGCUCAGAUUAUUUAAGCACCCUAAUAUCAAAUUGGCUGAGAUCAAAUUCAACCCCAAAACAUAUAAUGGCAUUCACAUAGUUUCGUUUGUCCUGGACUUACAAUAUAAAAAUAAAAUCUGUAGCUAUCACUGAAAACCAACCUUCAUUGGGUGUAUUCUCCUUUCCUUCAGAUAUUCUACAUCAUCAACCUGAGUUCUAAAGAAAUUAUUGUUAGUGGCAUUAGUAGCACAGAACAGUGGGAAAAUAUUAUAUGACAAAAAUAACAUCAGUAACAUGAUAGUGAUACAGACAAGAAGCUCGUUGAAAGAUAAUGAAAGGCAGAUUUACAGAAGAAAAAAAACGAAUAAUAAAACCAUUCAAAAAGUUAUUUAAAUUCAAUGGCGGACUGCUUGUUAUCCUUCUUAGGAAAUUUUAGGCUACAGUAAUUUAUUAAGUAAGUCACUGGUUUACUUUGGGUUUUCUAAAGGUUUAGUUGUUUCGGAAUGUAAAACACAUCUGCUUGAAGGAUUUCAUGGUAUUUUAUGGGUUGCUAAUUUCAUUUUACAAUUUCUUAUCUUAGAGUCUUAGUCUUGUUAGGAUUAAGAAGGCCAGUAGCCUGUAAGUAUUGACACAAUGAAUUCAAAGGAGAAGUGUUGGAGACCAUGUAUAUGUAUAUUCUUCUAGUCCAUUAUUUGAUUUUCUGCAGUGCUACAAUCACUACCAUUUCAGCAACAUAACAGCCAUCGGAAUUGAAUCUUUAUUAGACCUAUUCAAAUCCUAACCCCAUAACACUCUUCCACUAAUUAACCUCCAAUACCACUCUACUUGAUUUAGCGACAACAUAACAAAUCAUAGAACACAAGUUCUAAGCUUAAUACAGCUGCACUAUGUCCAUUUGAUACUUGCGUACUGAUUUAGUCAAUGGGAAUAACAAGUAUAUGCAUGCAAGACAGUAUAUACAAUAGGCCCACUUCAACCAAUAUCCAGAAACUAAUAACCAUCAAACUUACGAAUUCUUCAUGGAAAAUUUAUGGUAGAUUGGCAUAUUUACACCCUAAUAUACACUCAUUUACACUUGUAGCCAAGUCUAACAUUAUCGUGUUAUAAGCUUACAGGUCAGCAUACACAGGUUGCCCUAGACCUACAUGGCAUAUUUCUAGGGCACCAUGGCCCAGGUCCUAACAUCCACCAUCCCUGGGCUGCCAUUGGUGAUUACCCAAAAAAGAGAAAUUUUCAACAUUUUUCCGCAAUAUACUCUAGCCAGCCAUUUCCUUUUAGAAAAAUUUAUGGGACUAGAUGGUAGUACUAGUUGUGGUCAACAAAAUUUGAUAAAUCUUUGAACUCUAACAAAUUCAUACACAGAUGCAUACUACACAAGCAAGUUCAAAAGGCUAUACCUUCUGUCCUGUACAGAAUUCCAUCGUCAGAACUUGAUGAGUCGUUAAGUCCUGGACACAUUUAUGGUGGUCAGCUUCUUGUAUUGCCAAAUUAAAGAUAUUCCACAGAUGGCUAAAUAAAAAAUGAAGAGGAGCAUGCCAGCUAUAAUACCCAAAAUACACGAGGAACCUUGACCCAUUUGUUGUUGGCAAAGUUAUUGGCAGUUGUCUCAGAAUUCCUAGCCUCCUGAAUAAAGUCUGUGGAACAGUUAAAGAGACGAAAACCAUUAUUGUCUUCACUAUCUUCAAUAAUGAUUUCAAGACUAAAAUUCAGAUCAUGCUUGAUGCAGCAAAAUCAUCAUAUGAUGGCAAUUGUCUGUCCAAGCUUACCGUACCACUGCUUUUAAAUUGAUUUCUUUUUUGGGUGCUAUCUUGUCCAUUUAUUCUGAAUAGUGAAAUAAUCAUAUUUUUUAAGUGUUAGGAAGUAGGGAUAAUUGGAAGCUUAUUGAAAAUAAAUGUCUAAAAUGGCUGUGCUGCUUCUCCUUUGAGCAAGACUGAUAAUGGUGUUCAAACAUUAGAACCAUGAACCGAGUCUAAUCCAAUGGGUGAGAUUCUCAAUUUGUAGAGAGAAGUUCCCUUAGGAGUCCUUUGAAAUACACAUCUUGGGGAUUAUUGUUAAUGGGGCUAAAAGUCAAUUUUGGGAAGAUAUUUGGCAUGAUGAAUUAUUCUUUCAAUAUUUGUUUCCUCAUUUUUAUCCAUCAACUCUAAACUAUCACGAUACAAUCCUUUCUUACAUAACUUCCUUUUCCACUUCUCUAGAGCAUUCCAUGGAAUUUAACUUUUGAAGGAACUUGAACGAUAGAAAAUUCUCAAAAUUUGUCUCAGGCAAUAAUCUCCCUGAACCCAGGUUAAUCUGACAGAGAAAUUGAUAUGCAUUUGAACUUCAGGUAGUCCUUUUGUUCAUUCUCUCAUAUAAAAUCCUAUUGAUCAAGUUUUCAGACAUUUAAGAUUAUUUGGUUGGUGUACCCAUUAAAGAACAGAUUUUUGCAUGGUUGAUGGCUCACAAGAAAUUACAUGCUAAAAUGCCUAAAGAGUAGAAUCUAUGUUUGUUAUCACCAAUAUGGCGUAUUUUAUACAGGGUUCAGGUUUAGGGCACAGGUUAUGGUGUUCCAAGUCCAGGAUUCUGGUUCCAGGUCCAACCUGUAGUCGUGAGGUUCAGGUUCGAGGUCCCAUGUCCCAAGUCCACAGUCUGGAUUUGGGGUCCAUGUCUCGAGUCUGGGUUUAGUUUCUCUCUCUAGCUUGUCUGGACUGAAAGGAGCUAUUUUUGGUGUAUUCAAAUAAUAAACACAAAAAGAGGUCAUAAAAUAUUAUUUAUAAAUUUCAUACCCCUUAAUUCCUCUAGAAUGUCCUGAUACGAGAAAAGCUAACUGAAGAGUACUACAGGUAGGGCAAAAAAAUUGUUUCUUAAACAAAAGUACCAUAGGUAAGGCAAAAAUAAGAACUUUCUAAAAGGAAAUUAUAUGUUUCUAAUUACCAAUGUCAUCCAACAACUCACCAAGUUCGAGAGAAAUAGACUCUACGAAUUCUGAUACCAGCCACUCAAAUCUGUAUUCUGGGAAAAACUGCAGGAUGGGAAAAGAAAUAGGUCUUUAAGUAAUUGAAAAGCAUCCAGCAAACUAUGGAGUAAAGAAGAAAAAACAUUGCCAAGUGACAGAAAGCCAGUAAGGGAAAAACAAAAGAAAAUAAGCUACCUGAUGUCAAACAUUUAGACCUUGAACCAUAUAUAUUUUCAAUCUUUUCAGAAAAAUUAUUUUAUAUGGAGACAAGAAACUUAUUGUUUCAAUUCUACAAUCGAAAAAAAAAACAUUUUAGGAACACUUCAUAAUACAACAUAAAAGGGCUGAAAAUUGUUUGAAAAUGUAUUGCUUGGAUGCUAAAGCCAGUUAUUAGUAAACAUAACAUAUGAUACAGAGCAAUAACAUCUUGGCACUGCUGGGUUUUCCAGCCCAUGAUGAGUUUCCUAAUCGUCUUGGAGAAUAAGAAUCAUAUUCCCAGUUGGACUUGUUUUCCCAAUUGAAGAGGGUUCAAAAUGCUUGGUAAUCAGAUUCCUAUUAGGAUUAGAUUACCUAAUUGAUGAAGGCCUUGCUAUAUAAGGAGAUCCAAUGUGCUAGUUUACAAGCAUCAACAUCAGCAAGCAAGACAGAACAAUAUUCAGAAUUCCACUCCAAAGAGAGAGUGAGCGGGAAUACCAUUCCAGAGAGAGAGAGAGUGUGUGACCGGAGAGCAAAACAAUUGAUUACCAAAAGGAGUUAGAUUAAGAGAAUAUUGAAGGGCAAAGUGUGUGAGAGAGAAGAAAGAGAUAAUAGUGUUUCCUUGUUUUCUUGUUCUUUCUAGUUGUUCAUCAAGUCUUGAAUCUAGAGGCUUGAUAGGAUAAUUUGUUUUUUAACCAUUAUCGAUAUGGUGGAGAUUUGUUGUUUCUGCCCCGUGGACGUAGGCCAUAUAGCUGAACCACAUUAAUCUUGGUGUUCUUUAUCUUCUAGGUUAUUUUCUUGGGUUUCCUGAGUUCGUUUGUUUCUCCCAUUCUUAAAUGAUUUCACAACAGGCAGUUACUUGUGUUCAAAGAAACCAGGUAUACAACAGUACAACCACAGAAAAAUGACAUAAAUCGCAACAAAGGUUUGUUGUGCUUGUCAAAAAUAGAUGAGCAGAAAUAAAUUAGUGUAACCUGUUAUGUAGGAUGCAGUAAAUGGGGGAGUAGGAUGACCAAUUUGGUGUGAUAAUUGCUGGUGGGGGAAAUGACUUCCCUUAAGUAUUUGUGCAGGACAACUAAUUUUUAUCUGAGAAUUUCACUUUUCCUGAUAGUCUACUUAUUUCCUCUAGUAAAUUACAAUCAUUCAAAACACAUUAGAGUAAAUAAUGUAUGUCCAAGUUACACCAAAACAAAGAAUUAGGAGAACAAAGGGCCUAAGAUUUUCUUUACUUUCUAAAGAAAAUCAUAGGACUACAAAUUCUAAAUGUAAUGUUGAAAAGUAGAAAGGCCUAAGUUUUCUUUACAUAUUAUACAUGUUGUACACAGAUGAAACUCAAGAAUUGUAAACGAGCACAUUUUGGAACAUACAUUGAUAGCAUAACAUAGCACUUAACAUAGUAUCAUAAAACCUAGGGCUGCAAAUAAGCCUACCCACUCAAGGGCUCAAAGCUAUGAUAUUAGUUAGGCUUGGCCUGGAAACUGGUUUGUUUAAAAAUUGCCAAGCACCAACUCCAAAAUUGAAGGUCAAUGAAUAACAAGCCAUUAACAAGCAUAAGGUGCUUGAUUGGCUAGGGUUGCUGAUGUAGCACAGCCCGUAGGUAUUAGAUUAAGCACUCAAACAAUAGAACAGAGAAGAAUAUAAGCGACCGGGGAGAAGAAAUAGAGAUCGAAAAGACGAGAUAAGGACAGAAACAGUAGAAUAAAGAAGAAUAUUGGAGAUCGAGGAGAAGAAAUAUAGAUCGAAGGGACGAAAUCAGAGAGUUCUAGGAAAAGGUUUACUCAACAUUCAAAUCUGAAUUUUAAAGAACUACACCUAGACAUAACAGGAUAAAAAUCCCUUGCUUAAACAGAAAUCCUAACCCAAAUAAAAUAGGAAACUUAAAACUAGAAAAUCUGGAAAUCUGGAAAAGUAGAAAUCCCACUAGAAUUGGGAAAACUAGAGAAUCUAGGAAACUAACAAAUACAUUAGGAAACUAAUAAAUUUAGGUCAUAUGCGUCCUGCAUCAGUUGCACAGCAACUCCACAAAUCAGAUCUCUGUGGGAGUAAUACUAUUUAGAAACUUCAAUGACCAUUUAGGAGAGACAAAACCUAUUCACUGCAACUACAAUAUAUCACAAAAGUGUCCCGAGAUUGAGUGCAUACCCAAGCAAGGGAUUUUGAAAGAAAAUACAUGGUUGUUGUAUCUAUUUUCAUUUGCUGCUCCAGGUCCGGGUACUGCACCUAUUAUCCACAUGACAAAACUAAUUAAUAACCAUUGCAGUCAUAAAUCCGUGUUUAUUGAGAAGCAAAAAAACAUUAUAUGCAAAAGUAUUAAGGAACACAGAAAAGAAAAGCAAACACGUUUCUUUUGUUUUAAUGUAUAAGAAAAAGUUAAGGAAUGGAUAAUUUUAUCAGACAUCCUGAAUUCAGGUAACUAUUCUUUUUGUGAAACGAUUUUGAACUAUUGUUCCACUCUUUUAUCCACCUCAUCUUUGUUUUGCCACCAAGAAAUUUCCUGUUUAACAAUCAAUUUUGAACUACAGUUGCACUGUUUUAUCCAUCUCAUCUUUGUUUUGGCUUGUUCAGGGUGACGGUAUGUUGUUAUGGGAAUAUAUAUUUCUUGCUGAUGGAUAUGUUUUACUCCUUCACAUAUCUGGUGUUUCAUCCAAUUUAGGGUGUAGACUAGAAAUUUCUAAAUCAACCUCCCCUAGAAUGGCUAGUGAGCGACAAAGGAAACUUCGAGCUCAUAUUGGUCAUGGCUUGAGAGAGGGAAUUGAAAUGUGUGUGUUCCUUCAUGUUGUGCUUCUCAAGAUUACGAUAUUCAACACAGCAUUUCAAGAUAGAAAGAGUUUGGUGUCCUUGUUAUUGUUAUUUGGUGUUUUGGUGUGUCUUUAUAAGCUUGUUUAGUUUGUAACUUGAGUAGAUAGUUUGUAUCUCAACUUGGGUGGUUGCAGCAAUGUUUUGUCUAGGAAAUGCGAAAAAGGGAAGAUCAUAAAGUCCCUGUUCUUAUAUUGGUAAAAUAAAUUCAUUUUGGAUUCUAUAUUUCUAAAUUGAAUAAAUGACAUUAAACAUUUCCUAUGUUGAAAAGAUGGGAAUUUGAUUUCCUUGUUCUAAGGAGGAAUGUCCACAGGAACUAAAAGUUUAGGAAUUUGGUCAAACCACUUACCAAGCUUUUAUCACUUCUUGAAAAUUGAAAAGUUUCACCUAGAAAUCUCGUGAGACUGUAGCACACUUUUUUCAUAUUCUCCCCAUGAACUCAAAUUUAAAUGAAGAGUUUCGAAGAAGAGUUACUGGUUUAUUCACCAAUUACAGUUGUCUUAAAAUUAAUGAAAUUUACUAAAACAGAGGUUUAGUCUGCUCACCAACCUUAAUUGCUACUUCUUGAUGACCCUUAAGAACUCCCCGGUGUACUUGAGCAAUAGAUGCCGCAGCUAUCGGAUGUUCAUCGAGUGACAAAAACCUGAGGUAAAUGCCAAAGUCAGAAAAAUAACAGCCCUUUCAACUUUGAAGUACAGAGUUCCAUUGGAGAAACACAUUAAGAAGAAGGAGAAGUUUUUAAGGCACAUGCUACCAACCAUUUUUUUUUUUUUGACAAGGACAAAACUUCAUACAGCAAUUGAGAGGAAAAAAAGAAGUAGCAACAAGACAAAUGUGGAAGUUCAUCGAGUUAGAAAAAGAUCCCAAAGUCAUAAAACUUUCAAGUAUAGAGUUCCACUGAUGAAACACAAUGAGAAGAUGCAAUAACUUUUAAAAUCACCUGAUACAAACUUGUAAAUGGCAAGAAACAUACAUGCGGAACAGUUACGGAAAAAAAAGAAUAAGGAAAACAAAAAAAGGAAGAAGGCAUACAUCAUUUUCAUGUCUUCCACCAUUUUAUACAAACUAAGGAACCCCAAUAUAUUACCAAAGUUUAUGAUCCUUCAUAAUCCCUUCCAACACAAAACACUCCAUAAUUAAUAGCAUGUCUUAAGAGUCUGCAAGUUUUUUUUUCCCUUCUAUUUAAAAUUUUUAUCUGGGUUCCCACAAGUUGGUGUAUACACUGCAAUGUGACAAAAUACUUACAUAUCUGACAGCUCGGGUCCCAGAUUGCGGAUUAGUACCUCUUUAAUAGCCUUGAAAUGAUAUGGAACUGCCUAAGACAAUAGUUACGAGAUAGUCACCAUAUCAUAUAGUUAAAUUAAUUUCCACCUACAUGAAUAUAUACCAUAUCUAGAAAACAAAACGGAAUAUAAAGAAACAGAUAUAAACACAUAGUUCAUUCAUACCUGAUCCUGCAAUGAGGAAAGAGUCAAUGAGUAUUCUUUGGGAACCUGUCGCAGAGCUGCAACAAAUUGGCCAGCUUUCACAUAGAACCCUCUAUUGACCUCACACAAUUUCCGAAUUCUUGAGGCGGACCUUCUAUGAACCUAAAUUCCAUCAUCAAAUUCAUAAGAUAUACAACUGAAGCUCCUUCAUAAUGGUUCUCAGACUAGAAGCAAACAAUUACAAAAUCUAUCUAAUUUCUUCUGAAAGAAACUUACGUUCCUGAGGAAAUUCAAUGAUUCAUACUUCAUAGUAAGAAAGAAAAGAAAAGCAACCAAGCAACCAACCUCAGAUAGCUUCUGACGAUACUCAUCAGAGUCAACCGAGAGUCCAUGUAAAGUGAACUUGUAGUCAACAGCAGUGAAAGCAAUCUGCAACUUUCAGGAACAUAUUAUUAACAGUGAAAGAGAUAGAUGGAAAGGGAAGAUUUUUUUAUUAAAAAAAAUGACAAAAAUGGAGAAUGAAAGGGGAGGAAACGGACGGUGGCGAUUGCGCGAGAAGAUCGAUUGACGCCAUGGAUUGGUGCGCGUAAUUUCUCAGGAAAGUUGGGGAAGGAAUCGGAGGAAGAUGAUAGAAAAUUGGGGUUGAAGGCAUGGAAGGUGAGGCCAGUGGCUGUGAUUAAGCAGAGUGCGGUUUUGGCCUUCCGCAUUGCCCGAGUCUAAUGUGUUUCUCUGUCUAGACUCGCCAGACCAAUUCAACUAUCCCGUCAAAUAAUACAAAGAAAAUUAAGGGUAUGUUUGGUAUUUUAUUUGAAUAUAAAUUUUUUAAAUUUUAAAACAGAAUUUCAGUCUAAAAUUCAAAAAAUCUGUUUGCAGGGCCGAGUUUUAAAAACUCAAACUCAAAAAUUCCCAAAUAUUUGAAAACAGAAAACAUUUGUUUGUUUAGAAUUUUUUCAUCAUUCUUGCUUGCCACUUCAACCAAAUAAGUAAUUUAUUGGGAUCCUCUUUUUUUUUUUCAAUAAAUAUUUUUCCCCGAUUUUAGUUUAUCGAUAAGAGUAGUUUAGACACCCAAAGUAAUUAUCCAUACAAAGAAUUUAGCACUUUCACAUUUAAUAGCGUACAUGUACAUACGUAUUUUUCAUAUUUGAUACACAUAUUUAUAACAAAAGUUUCAAUAACACACAAAAUUAACGUAUUAUACAAAUAAUUCUCACAUAUUAUUGAAUAAAAAUAAUAUAUAUUAAAAUAUUAUAUAGUGACCUAACUUUUAAGUUGUAGAUCCUCUUUUUUUUCUUUUUAAAAUAGUAUAGCCGUGCGGCUGUACUCGCCUUUUUAUAAUUUUAAAAAAAUAGUAUAGCCGGUCAGCUAUACAUAUUUUGACACGUAGGAGCCUAAUCGCAAGUGGGGCCCUCUUUUUAAACCUGCAUAAAUAGUAUAGCCGCUCGGCUAUACUCCGGUUUUUAUUUUUUUUUGUUAAAAUAGUAUAGCCGGUCGGCUAUACUUAUUUUGACACGUGGGAGCCCAUCGCAAGUGUAUAAAUAAUAUGGCCGCACGGCUAUACUUCUGUUUUUAAUUUUUUGUUAAAAUAGUAUAGCCGGCCGGCUGUACUCGCCUUUUAAUAAUUUUAAAAAUAGUAUAGCCGGUCGGCUAUACUUAUUCUGACACGUGGGAGCCUGCCGCAGUGGGGCCCUCUUUUUUUACGUGUAUAAACACAUAGUUCAUUCAUACCUGAUCCUGUACUGAUUUCUUAAAAUAGUAUAGCCGGGCGGCCAUACUCGCUGUCAUAAACACUCGGUUAAGUUUUUCUUUUUUUUAUUUUCUAAUGAUUUUUCAGUUUAGUAAUUUUUAAUUUAUAAAACAUUGUUUCACCCACGUCACAUGCCACUUCAGCAAUUUAACAGAAAUAAACCCUUAUAUUUAUUAAAAAAACACAUUCUAGCCGAAAACAGCAAAAUCGAAAGGGGAAAAAAACGAAAAAUGAUGAAACUUCCGAGUACUUGAAGAAUAAACCUUUCAAUUCUGCUUCCUAAGGACAGAAUUAAGAAAGUUUUAUCAUCAAAAGCCAACUAUUAAAAUAAAACUUUUGGAUGCCAAUUAUCAAAGCACUUAACCAAUGUCGCUUUCAAUCCCACAACCAAUGCUCCCUCGUAAUCUCAUCAUUUACAAAAACUUUGACUUCUACAGAAAAUGUUGUUCUCGGUGCUUCUUCGCAAGCAGAAAUAUAUGAGCAUUCUUUGAAUCUGAAAGAUAGAUAUCAUUUAUAUGAACACCAAAAUUCAAAAUUCAAACUUCAAAAGCAAGUUACAGAGAUCUGAUAUAAAGAAUGAAGAUGGAUCAGAAACACCUGGCUUGGUGUCUCUGUGUAAUACAGAGAUAUAAGUCGCUCAGUUUGUUCAGUUUCGAUCAUUUGGGGAAAUAAUCAUCACUUCCAUCUUCUCUUUCUAUGGUUUUUUCCAAUUUCAAAAAUAAAAAUCAUUCAAAACACAAAAACAAUUUCAAAACCCAAACUGAAGAAAGAUUUGAAAAUUCAAAAGACGAAGAAACAAAAAGAAGAAUAGAUGACAAUGAGUUGUUGGGAUUUGGGAAAGAUCAGAGUUCUGGCUUGGAAAUUAAAAAUAGCGCAAGUUUGAAUCUGCUUCGAUCAUAUGGGGAAAGUAGCAUCACUUCAAUCCCAAAUCCCUAACAUCCAAUAUGAAUCACAACAAAAGUAAAGCGGAAAAACCUAAAAACAAAAAAAUCAAACACAAAACUGUGGCGCCGGCUCAUACGAAGAGCCCAUUCUUACUCAGAGGAAGCUUGAUAUCAGUUUCUUCGACGCCGAAACUUAAAACCUAAAUGCUAAUACUAUGUAUGCAAACGCAAAAGAAACAACAUCAAAAAAGUUACCAUGAAGGUGAACCGAGAAUGCAGAGGCAGAGAGGGUGCGUGAGACGGUGAGAGGGUUGAAGGAUGCGAUUCAAUUUAUAGGGUAUCGACGUGCGCUCGGAAACCCUAAUUUCAUUAGGCUGAGUUAUGUCGGUCCUAGUAUGGCAAAACGACAGCGUUGCUAGGCAAUAACCCUCGGCCCUUUUACGGCCCUAAGACCCAAGUAGGGGUAAGCCCAUAAAUUUGGAAGAAGCCCAUGGGGUGGCUGCUUCCAUUCGCAGCUCCACUUUUGGUUUAGUUUUCUAAUUUUUUGAAGUCAGAUAUUAUUUUCUAAUUUUUCUUUCUUCUUUGUCUUUGUUCGCUUAGACUUAUUAAUUUGGUAAACAAUUUGCCUAGUCCAAUUUAAAUAUUAACCUUAUUCAAGGCAUUAUAAGUAUUCUUAUUCGAGUUUUUGUGGUACAUCCAAUGGUGCAUUGUCAAGUUUUUAAUCAUUAAAUCAAAAGUCUAAAAGACUAAAAUUUGAUGGUCGAUAAAACAAUACAUUUUACGUUAUGUUAGAUGUACCACAAAGAGGCAGAGCGGCUUCGAGCAGGUGGUGCAGCUGGUGUGCAACACGGAUGGCUGACGCCCUACAUGACUCAAAAAUCCUGAUCGAUGCCCUUCGCGAAGGAAGUUGCCCUGACGCCAACGUAGAAUAGAUCCUCCAUGAUAUUCGUAUACUUAGUCAACAGUUCACAUCUAUUUGUUUCUCUUUUGGUCCUCGCACACGCAACUUUGCUGCUCACACAAUGGCGAGUCAUGUAUCCAAAUUUUCUGGUGCCUGUAAUUGGGAUUCCUUGACCCCCUUAUGCCUGUUAUCGUCACUUGAGAAGGAAGCGGCCGGCUUGGCAACUUUGAAUAGUUGAACACUUUUCAUUGUUUCUUUUCGUAGAUAAGAAUUUCAUUUUGAAUGCAAGACUGAUCAUCCUCAUUCCUCUAUUUGCCUUCAUGUGUCUAAAUACACCAUGUACUUUCCCUCAAACAUUGCGGUUGAGUCGGAUGUCUCCCUCCCUCCAUUCAAUUCAACGUUUACUUUACCACGCUUCUCUUUCCAUUAAUUGACCCUUCUCUUUCUUGGGAAUAGGCUGAAUACUCAGAGGACGACAUGGCUGCUCCUUCUAGGCCAAUAACAAUUUGACUUAGUCUUGUUUUCUUUGGGUGCACAACCUCUUUGGAUUGUUUAGCCAUCGCAAUCUGUUAUUGUUAAAGGGCUAAAUUGGUGAAAUGCUUCAUGAACUUGGAUCUAACUUUUAAUUUAUCCUAUAAUUUUUUUAAAUUAAGAAUAUGAACUCUUUUUUUGGUCAACAUUCCCUUACCAUCUAAAUCUUAAACAUUUUAUCCAAAUUCCUGCAUGUUGGUUUCAUUAAGUUUAUGGAUCCAAUCCAACCUGUUGCCACUCUUGCAGUAGUGACCAAAAAUUUAAUAUAAUUUCCCCAACUCGUUUUUAGUGCAGCAGUACCUUUUGGACGUUUGAUUUAACUUUGGCUAUUAUAUUUAGAAAAGUGAUUUAGAAAAUCUCUUUUUAUAAUUUUGCCUCAACGGAAUUAUGUCUCCAUUAUAAAUAUUCUUUUUGUAACCACCAUUACAUAGAUAUUUAAAUAUCACACACCAAAAUGUAUUUUGGCCUGGUACUCGACCAUAGCAUAAAAUAUGGGCUUUACCUCAAACGUGCUUGAAUAAAUUUUUUUAAAAAAUUAGAACCUCAAAAAAUAUUGUUUUCUUUUUCUUUUUGCUGAAUACUUUUGUGGUUUGUAAGUUUAACCUUUCCACGGACAACACAUGCAUGGAUAUAAUGAUCACCAAAAAACACAAAGGGUAACUUAUUAUGACAGCCAAGUAGGGAUGGCAAAAAUUCCCUUAGGGAUGGGUCCCUAUCGAGUCUCCGAUUUUAACGGGGGGAGAUUUCGGGGCUAAAUGGGUAUCGGAUAUGGGGAUUUCCGAACUUAAAAAAUUCUUGACAGGUAUGGGGAGAGGAUGGUAUUGGCGUCCCCAUCAUCGAGCCCCGAGCCGAAAAUAUAUAUGUUUAUAUUUAAAUAAAUAAAUAUAUAAUUAUAAUAUUUAUGUUUAACCCUAAGUUAACUUCCCUCUCCUAAUUCUUCCUCAUUUUCUAUGGAAUUUCAUAUUUAUGUGAUUUUGAAUAGUUGAGUUGAACUUUAUAGUUAAUUUGGAUGUGUUGAAUGAUAAUUUAAUAUGAAACUUAAUGUUAAAAUGUAUGAUAAAUAUUUUUUAAUGCAAAAAAAUCAGGGAUUCGGGGCGGGUAUGGGGGAUAGUCCCCCGACUGAGACGGGAAUGGGGAUUCCCCGAAACCUAAUAAACGGGGAUGGGUUUGGGGACGGGGGCGGGGAUGGAGAGCGGGGAUGGGGAUGGUAUUGUCAUGCCCGGCCCCUACCAGACCCGUUGCCAUCCCUACAGCCAAGCCUUUAAUCAAUUUUGCUUAAUAAUGAUGUAUCUGCUAAUUAAAAAUUAUCUAAAAAUAAAAAUAAAAGGUUAGGGGUCUGUCUGUUUUCUGUUUUCAUUCUCAAAAAACACUGAGAUUAAUUAUUUUAACCUUUUAGUUAUAAUUCACUGAAAAUGCAAAAAACAUCAAAAUGUUGUUUUCAUUUUUAGAGAAUAUGGAUUCAUUGAGAAAAAACAGUACAUAAGCCACCAUCAUAACCAUCAUCGUCAAACACCACCCAACAACCACAACAGACCAGAAACCUGCUAAUCGCACCACCACCUAGUCGAACUCAAUCGAUCGUACCAUCAAUACUACUUGUACCAAAUCGAAGUACCACCACCCACUCAACAAACUACUAAGGAACGAGAGAGAGAGAGAGAGAGAGAGAGAGAGAGAGAGAGAGAGAGAGAGAGAGAGAGAGCUAGACGGGCCUUAUACUGUUAACUUUUAGAGAGACGGGCCAACGGCUCACAGUGAGCACCGCUGAUAUUGAGUAAGGGUAAACAUUCAAGCCCAACAUGUGAACAUCACAUGUUGGGUAACAGGUAAAGGUAAAGGCCUAGUAAUUCAAGCCCAAUCAAUCCACCCGCUCUGAUACCAUGUUAAAUUUCAUAGAGACAGGUUAUCGGCCUACUACUAGCAACUCGGUGGGUAAAGGUAAAUGCCUAGUAAUUCAAGCCCAAUCAAUCUACCCGCUCUGAUACCAUGUUAAAUGUUAGAGAGACAGGCCAUCGGCCCACUACUAGCAACUCGGUGGGUAAAGGUAAAUGCCUUGUAAUUCAAGCCCAAUCAAUCCACCUGCUCUAAUACCAUGUUAAAUUUCAGAUAGACAGGCUAGCAACACCGAUAUUGUCCACAACUUAACCACCUACAAAACCCAGUAGGUGUAAGGUUUUAUCACAAAGGCCUUAGUGAUAUUACUAGUAGAACCAUUCAUUAUAUAUUUUAUUUUAUUUAGUCAAGUUUUCGAUGUGGGACUUAUAUCUUUCAACAAAUACCAACAUAACAACUUGUUCUUCUAUUCGGAUACGAUGUUACCAUUUAUUAUUUUACUAUUUUAAAGUCACUUUCAAAGUCUUUUCUUUUAAGAGCUUUCGUUUUAAAACACUAUAUAGUUUACUAAUUUAGAAGAUAGAAAUACAAUUUCACUUGAUUAAAAUAAGGUCAAAGUCUAAAAGUAGUACCUAAUUUUACAAUAAUGUAAUUUGAAAUAUCAAAAUUACACACAAUGCCACAUGUCCACCUCCGGUAAUCCCCUUUUCGCCCAACUACCACCGCCGCCGCCCAGCCGCCACCAUUGCCCACCACUGCCUAUUCCGGCCAACCACUGCCACCUGCUACCAUCCAAUUACAAAUCUGAUUAUAAAAAAUUAAAAAUAAAAAAAAAGUCAAAGUAAAAACAAAAACUACAUCAAAGAGUUGAAAAAUCAACUUAUAAAAACUAAAAAAUAACUAGAAAAUUCAAAUAACAAUUUGAUCAAGAAUAUACUCAACAACAGAAAAACUGAGGAGGAUGUUGUAGGCUUUUUCGUGGCAUGCGUCCAUGGCGAAAUCUUUGGCGAAGCGUUCAUGGCGCGCCAGCUUCUAGAAGAGUCUUGAUGGCGUCUCCAUGGCCCAGCUUGGCCGCGUGCAUCAGCGGGGUGAGGCGGCCGCCGUCGAAGUACGAAACAUCACCUCCGAUUUCGAUUAAAGUUUUCAGCUCUAAAGAAACCAAGUUCAUGAAUUUGGGUUACGUCAUGGACGCGGCUCUGGUGCCAUCGUCGUUCCCGCCCGGUACGGACCCGAACGUGGUGGUUUGCUUUUAGAUGGCAAAUCCAGACGGCAGUGGCUUCAUCGUGACAAGGAGUUGCAGAGAGCUCUGUCGUCGCAUAACAGAGGAUGAGAUAUGAUUUGGCUAAGGCUUUUAAACAAAAAAGGUAAAAUUGUAUUUUACCUUUGUAGUUUAGACAAGCCCAACAAAUAUGGUCCUCUUUGGCCAAAUUCAAAACAAAAUUUAAUUCCUAUGUAUCAAAAUCCAAACAGAAAUACUAUAGGUAUCGAAUCUCUAUUAGUAAAGACUCUUAUGAUUAAUACCUUUUCUUUUUCUUUUUUUUUGUUCCGACACUUUCAAAGUUUUGGUCCAAAUAAAUAAAAGUCACCUUCAAAGUCGACUCCAAUCCAAUAAAAUAUGAAAAUUAUUUUUCACCAUGUCACUGAUCGGUUUAAUAACAAAAGCAGAAAGUGAUUAAUUGCCGGGUUUUUCCAUAAUUCGCUUGAAUGCAACUUAAUAAUUGGUGAGAUUGACAGGCCUUCCCCUCUACUCAUGCGCACUGAUGAAGGAGAGGUUGAAUGGACCUCCCCUUUUUUUUUUGGUAAAUAAAAUAAAAACAAGUCCCACAACUCUGUUUUGUGUUUGCUAAUGCUAUUGACCGACUAAACCAAACCUUCUACACGACACGACUUUCAUCACCUUCUCCUGCAAGUCUAUAAAAUUGACACCCCCGACUUUGAAUGGGUUCAAAAGUAAAGUCCAAAACCAAGGGUAAAGGCUGGGGCAGGCUCAUAGAGAACAUGCCCCUCCUUUGUUACUAUUAGACUAUUAUUCAACACCAUAAGGUCGGAAGGCACCGUCCAUGUUCCAACUUGGCAACUUUCUAUAACUUUGAAUAAAACAUCAUUUUAAUAACCUCUGGAAUUCUUUUCCCCUAUAAAUAUAUGUGUCCACUCUUCCCUUCCCUAAGUUGUAUGCUACUACUUCAUUUGGUGACUUUGUCUACAUCGAUCUUCUUCCCUUUUCAAAACCCAUAUCCACAUUUCUAGAUCUCUCUCUGAAACUUCUACACCAUCAUCAAUCCAUCACCAUGGUUCUCUCAAAGACUGCUUCGGAGUCGGAUGUCUCUGUCCACUCAACCUUCGCUUCUCGAUAUGUUCGAACUUCUCUCCCCAGGUAAUUUUAGAUUCACAUUCUAACAAACAUAAAACACUUUAACAGCAAAAGAAAUCUUUCUCUUUAUGGAUGCAUGAUUCAUAUUUAAUUUGAUCAUCGAUGUUAUUGCCGAUGAAUUCAUACUUUUGAUCGAUCAUGCAGAUUCAAAAUGGCGGAAAACUCGAUCCCCAAGGAGGCAGCGUACCAGAUCAUAAACGACGAGCUUAUGUUGGACGGCAACCCGAGGCUGAAUCUGGCGUCGUUCGUGACCACAUGGAUGGAGCCUGAGUGCGAUAAACUGAUGAUGGCCUCCAUCAACAAGAACUACGUGGACAUGGAUGAAUACCCUGUCACCACUGAGCUCCAGGUAACCUCAUAUCUUCUUUUUCAUCCUCAUCAAAUCAUCAUCGUUUUGGAUCCAUUCCCGUUUUACAAUUUCUUAUAAUUAAUCACAUUUUCUUCAUAAUUUAAUGCGUACUAUGAGUGGAGUGUCCGACUGGGUGAGAAUUAGUCAAGGUUAUCAUAUAAUAUUGUUUGAAAAGCAAAUGCCUUGUUGGCCACGUCGUUCAUUUCAUUAAUGACUAGUCUUUUCGCACGCCUUUACAUAUCUGUCAAAGGUUUAUUUUUUAAAAAAUGUAAAUUUAUUUUAGAAUUAAAAAAUAAUAAUAGAUAGUUAAUUAUUUUUUAUUUAAAAUUAAUAAAAGAUAACAGGGUAGUUAUGUUCCAUAAAAGUAGGAUCUAUUAUCUUAUUUUGUUUUUAAUUUUAAUUUUUUUAAUAUUAAAAAAUGUGAAUUUACCAUAUUAUCCUCAUUUAAUUAAUAAUUUCAAUUCUUAAUGUUUGAAUUAACAAAUGAUAUUUCUGGUAUUUUGAAUGUUUCACCUUUUUCUGCCUUUUGCUUUAUAUAUAUAGAUUUACAUUAACUAAGAACAUUUUUCAGAAUUUUAAAUAUUUUACCGUUAUUUACUUUUUACUUUAUAUAUAUAGAUAUAUAUAGAUAUAGAUAAUAAUAAUAAUAAGCACGUAUCAUUAAAGAUAUAAAUAGAUUAUAGACUUGAGGAGUGACAUGCCAGCCAACCUCCACAUGCGAAUAAAUGAUUGGCCGUGGUGACAACUCAAAAAUCACUCUCAAACAGACUUUUGUAUUGCACUUCCAAUCAAUUGCCUUUUGUACUGCCUGUAGUCUUCAACUAGCUCUUAUUUUUAAAAGUAGAGGAAAAAAAACUUGCAAUUUGUGACCAAAAAUAAAAACCGCAAUUUCACCUGAAACCGCAAGUUCCCAAUUAUUGUACUGGCCACUGGGCAAAGUAAGUUUUUUUUACCUCCACCUAAUAUUCCCUUGUGGAUAGACUGAUGGAUUUUGACAUCAAAUAAGAGUCCACAACAUAUCUUGCAGUGUCGUGCGAAGCGCACUACGGAACAUUUGAAAAAUGAUAAUAGAAUUACAUGGAUGUUAGGAUUUGAAUUCAAAAUCUUGUUUGAAGAAGUAAUUACUUCAAAUCACUACAGUAAUAGGUGAUUGGCGAAACUAAUACUUUUGUAGUUGUAAAAUUAGAGAAAAAAGUAAACUCGGGGAAACUCAAUUAUUUUCCUAGGAUUUGACUUAUUGUUUCUAAAAUGAGUAAGAUAAUGUUUUUUUAAUGCUAAAGCAUCCUCAACUAGCUUUUGUUUCUAAAGUUAGUCAAACUUUAGUAAUAUGAUAAAGCAUCAUUAACUAGUUCUUGGUCCGUCCAUAAAAAUAUAAAAUAUUUCUUAGUCACAUCAAAGAGAUGACAAAUUCAAAGAAACAAAAUAAUACCCCAAACAAAAGAAAAACCAGAAAGAAAAAAGGAUGGUAUGAAUAAGUUGAAAGGUUGAAACAAUUAGCGUUGAUUUGGUCCACCCCGCAGUUUAUGCCAAGAUGCGUGGAAUAAAUUGGCUUCAUUAUUGCUCUCUCUGUCUCUCUCUCACUCAAAUGGGCAAGAAGGGACAGAGAGGACGAUUUCAGAUGUCAAAGUCCUGAAUGAGCCUAAUUUUGACUAGUAGAAAGAUGCGUCUAACAAAGUAUAGCAAAUGCUUCAUCGUUGAUCAUAAUAAUUGACGUAGUGAGUGAUACAUAAUUUGACAAACUAAUAUAUAUAUAUAGUCUAAAAUAACAGUCCCUCUAAUUGUAUCCUCCAAAUUCUAGGCUGCCAUUUUUGUAGGAAAAAGCUUAUGUAACUUCUAGCCUGUCAUCAAUCAUCAUGUUAAUUGAUAUGAUUAACAACUCAAAACACAGAUUAAUUCAGAGAGCUUUGUAUCUCAACUUACAGAAUAUGUUGGAUAUUUAGAGAUAAUUAAUGAUGUGUUGUAUUUUUGUGCAUGAUGUAUAUGAACACACAGAAUCGGUGCGUAAACAUCAUAGCUCAUCUCUUCAAUGCCCCAUUGGAGGAUUCAGAGUCCGCAGUUGGAGUGGGAACUGUGGGCUCUUCUGAAGCCAUCAUGUUGGCCGGCUUAGCUUUCAAGAGGAAGUGGCAGAACAAGAGGAGAGCUGAGGGCAAGCCCAUUGACAACCCCAACAUUGUCACCGGAGCCAAUGUCCAGGUAUUUAUAUAUGCUCAUCAUAUUUAUUUCAGCAAUUUUAAUAAAUAAAUAAAAAUAAAAUUCAACAAUGAUUGAUGUUAGGGACAAUAUAUUUUUAAACUACAUAAUUACAGUAAAUGAAUCGAAUUAUGUGACAUGUGUAAUCUAUUUGUUACAUUCUUUAUUUAUUAUGAUUAGUUGAUAAUUAAAACAUCGUCUGCCAACUAAUAUUGUUACUAUAUGGAUUAAUUGAAGGUGUGCUGGGAGAAAUUUGCAAGGUACUUUGAGGUGGAGUUGAAGGAGGUGAAGUUGAGGGAAGGAUACUAUGUAAUGGACCCUGAGAAAGCAGUGGAGAUGGUUGAUGAGAACACCAUCUGCGUCGCUGCUAUCCUUGGCUCCACUCUCAAUGGAGAAUUCGAAGAUGUUAAGCGCCUGAAUGAUCUCUUGGUAGAGAAGAACAAGGAAACUGGGUAUGUAAUCUCUCUCUCUCUCUCUCUCUCUCUCUCUCUCUCUCUCUCUCUCUCUGUUUUUAUCUUAUUUACUGAUGUGACACAUACCAUCACUUAUUAUGCAUAAAUAAAUGGCAUUCACAUGGUAAUCUUAGUUAUAAUGGAAUGAAAUGUUGUCACAUUAGUUGGAAUUCAAAAUAUUAGAAUAAGAGUUGGUGCUCUUAAAAUUAAUGACAAAGCUUUUUAAAUAUAUAUAUCCACAAAUUAAGACAAUAUGGAUCACGUCGACGCAUGUAUUAUUUUUUCGACCCUCUCUUCUCAAAUAAAACGGGACUCAUUUACACAGACGGGUCCUAUAUCUAUUACUGACUCAGUAUUGUUGAUGCAGUCUAAAUAACAUUACACAUGUGUAUAACACCUAACUUUGAUUAUUAUUAUUAUUUUUCCGCUUGCGUAGAUGGGAUACUCCAAUCCAUGUAGACGCAGCAAGUGGUGGGUUUAUUGCACCAUUUCUGUACCCAGAACUUGAGUGGGACUUCCGUUUGCCCUUAGUGAAGAGCAUCAAUGUUAGUGGGCACAAGUACGGACUUGUGUAUGCAGGAAUUGGGUGGGUCAUCUGGAGGAACAAAGAGGACUUGCCUGAGGAACUCAUCUUCCAUAUCAACUAUCUUGGAGCAGAUCAACCUACCUUCACCCUCAACUUCUCUAAAGGUACCUACUCUUUAAACUGUUCUCCUUAUUUUAUUGAUAUAUAUCAUAGCAGUUUUAAUACACUAUUCACAUUGGUAAAUGUCCAACUGUAGGCUGAGUUUUCAUGCUUUCCAUAAUGCAGGUUCCAGCCAAGUUAUUGCUCAAUAUUAUCAACUGAUUCGCUUGGGUUUUGAGGUUGGUACACUUAUAAAUUAUAAAUGAAAUUUGAAGAUUUUUUCCUUCCUUCAUUCUAAUUAAGAUAGUUUAUCAAGAAAGGGUCCACUAGCGUUGCCUUUCACACUAAGCAAGCAAGCUACCAAAUAAAUGUCCAUGUCAAAUAGUUAACAAGCUACAUGUCAAUUUCGUGAUCUGUAUUUAGAGAUCAUUCUUAUAAAAAAUUAGCCAAAUCAAGAAUUAUAAAGACAUCUAAUUGUGAUAAGAUAAGUAGACGAAUGUAAUGUUCUCAUCAAACAUUGAAGUUUCAUGAUAAUAAUCGCUAUUCUAUAACAAAAAGCUUGGUGAUCAUAUCAUCUGAAGAUAUGUAUGACAUAAUUAAUUGAAUUUUGUGCAUGUAAACCAGGGGUACAGGAAUGUCAUGGAAAACUGUCGUGAAAACAUGAUAGUACUAAAAGAAGGAUUGGAGAAGACAGAGCGCUUCAACAUAGUCUCUAAAGACGAAGGGGUACCAUUAGUGGCCUUCUCUUUGAGGGACAACCACCGCCAUGACGAGUUCGAAAUCUCUGACUUGCUUCGCCGCUUCGGAUGGAUUGUCCCUGCCUACACCAUGCCUCCAGAUGCGCAACAUGUCACAGUUUUGCGCGUGGUGAUUAGAGAAGACUUCUCUCACACUUUGGCGGAGCGCCUAGUGAAUGAUAUCCAGAAAGUGUUGCAUGAACUAGACACACUUCCAUCUAAGCUUAGCUCUAAUGUGAAGGCUGCCGACGGAGAGGAUGGGAAACCUGCAGAGACGAGGGCACUUGAGAGUAAGAAGAGUGAUUUGGAAAAGACAAGGGAGAUCACAACAAUUUGGAGGAAGUUUGUUACGGCCAGGAAGCAGAAGAUGAAUGUUGUUUGUUAGAAAGUGUCUGGUUUUUGCUACUCUAAUUAAUUAUUAACUUUGCUAAAAUUGAGUGUGUACUUGUAUGUGCUUUCAAUUGGAGUGGGAGUGAGCGUCCUUUUUGUAUCGCGUGUGACAAUUUCUUUUGCUCAAAUUUGAUGCCUAAUGAGUAGUUUUACACCCUUUAUUAUUUUGUAUGAUCAAAUUUUUGACAAGUUAGCUCGUGGUCUAACAUAAUUCUCUCUCAAAUAGUGAAGAUGCCUCGAGUUCAAAGUUCCCUUCGCCUGUUGAUGAAACAAAACCAACCAAAUUGUGAAAUACAGAAAUUUGGGCUUAUAGAUUCAUUUGCCCCACUGUGAGCCCGAUUAGACACUGAAAAUUGGAAAGAAAGAGACACUGCUUCAAAAAGCCUUAAGUCGUCACAAACCAACCAGCAUCAGUCUAACUAUUUUGUGGAUGUGGGCAUGGUAGGCCAUCCUUGUUUAGAAUGCUUGUCAGAGAGGGUGGACGUCGGUCAACCCAGACAAAAGAGCGCAUCCUCAAGGAAGAUAGCUUGGCCAAGUUGGCGGUUCUGGGAGAAUCCAUCCAUUGGUCUUUGGUUUUCCUAGAGCCUCCCAGCUAAGCCAAUGAAUUUGUUUCUCCCUUCCUGAUUGGCCCCACCAGAAGUUGGAUGGCAAGGAGUCAAUUUCUCUACAUACAGAUUUGGGAAAUAAGAAAAUAUUCAUAGGUUAUUGAGGGACAGCUUGCGUCGUUGCCUUUAGAAGGACCUCACGACCAGCUUGACACAAAAGUUGUUGUUUCCAGCCCUGAAUUUUCAACAAAAUCCUUCCUUUUAUGUAGAGCAAAGCUUCACGUUUGGCUCUUCCCCAAAUGGUAGAAAGACCAAGGUAUUUUCAUGGGCCAUCGACCUCUGGCAUACUAAAAACACCUCAAAUCUCAUCGCAAAUAUUCCCUAGAGUGUUGAAGCUGAAGUAUAGGGUGGAUUUGGAGAAGUUUACUCAUUGUCCAGAGGCAUUACAAUAUGCAUUAAGUAGGUGGACCAGAUUCCUGUUAUUUUGCACUGAAGCUUUCAGAAAAAUUAGAGUAUCAUCAGCAAACAUCAAGUGGGAAAUUGUGGGGGCAGUGUGACUGAGUCUGAUUCCCUGCAAAACACCAGUUAAACAGGCUUUUUGGAUCAUCAGAGAAAGCACUUCACUUACAAAGAGGAAAAGGUAGGGCGAGAUAGGAUCACCCUGCCUUAAACCUCAAGACGGCUUAAAGCUCCAACUUGGAUGACCACCCAGAAGCAUCGCAAGUUGAACAGUAGUUACACAACUCAUCACCAAUUGGAUUCAAGAGGAAGCAAAGCCCAUCUUCUGAUGUUGUCCUGAAUCUAACAAUCAGAGAUUAAGCUAGGCAAAAGAGGCUUGAGCCGAUUUGCCAGGAUUUUGGAGAGGAUUUUGUAUGAAAAAUUGCAGAGACUAAUAGGGCGGAAUUGUGAGACAAAUUCUGGACAUGUAGUUUUAGGGANNNNNNNNNNNNNNNNNNNNNNNNNNNNNNNNNNNNNNNNNNNNNNNNNNNNNNNNNNNNNNNNNNNNNNNNNNNNNNNNNNNNNNNNNNNNNNNNNNNNNNNNNNNNNNNNNNNNNNNNNNNNNNNNNNNNNNNNNNNNNNNNNNNNNNNNNNNNNNGGAAAGCAGCUCCUGGUCUAACUAAUUCUCUCUCAAAUAAUGAAGAGGCCUAGAGUUCAAAGUCCCCUUCUUCUGUUCAUUAAAAAAAAGCAACCAAAUUGUGAAAUACAGAAAUUUGGGCCAUGUUGCCUCACUGUGAGCCUGAUUAAUUAGACACUGAAAACUCUUCCCACGGUGAAGGGGAAUUAGUUGAUAAUUUGUAGGGAAAAAUAUCAAUCACUUCAAAAUUAUCCUUACACUCGAGAUUCUAAGUUCGAUUUUCACCAUUCCCCUAAUAUCGUUUGUUAAAAAAUGGAAUACAGCAAUUGGAAUGUACUACAAAGGAAUAAUAGUAAUUAUAAAAAUAUAUAUAAAAAAAACUUAGCCAAAGAGAAUAAAUAAAGUUGAACAAUCAUAAAGUCCACUCGCAUCAAUCCAAAAAAUAGAAAAUAAAACAACUAAAAUAACAAAAGAAAAAGAACACAUCUAGGCCUAAUAUCCCUUGAAGUUUCCAGUGUACAAGUACUCCUCCUUUGCAGAUAGAGACCUAAACUUCUAGAUAUCAUGAAAUGGGCACGAUUUAGGGUUUGGAUGAUGGCGUGCUCUUCACCACUGUAACUGGACAUGAAGCAUUAGUCACCACAUAGUUGCUGACACUGCCAAGCAACACCCUGCAGGGUUUAGGCAUCAAUUUCCAAUCAAUCAGAUAUAUAGAACAUUCCUAAUUCCUUUGACUAAAAUGUUACAAUACUUCUUCAGAAAAUUAGUGAUUAUGGACCUAACCAACAAUUUCGUGGCGAUGAGAAUAACUAUAUUGCUAUGAUGUCUUUUGAGUUUGUGCUUUCAUUUAUUUUGUCAAGUGUUUCAGACAAAAACUGAAGAUAUUGUAAGUGCUUUAAACUUUGUUGAAAACACAAAAUCACAGUUCUAAGAUAUGAGGGCACAUGGCUGGGAUGAUUUAUUCAUGAGCGUGGUAUCAUUUUGUGAAUGACAUAGUAUUGAUGUUCAUGAUAUGAGUUUUCAUUAUAUGAUUGGCACACGUCGUUCUUGUUUUGUUACAGUUGAACAUUAUUAUCGCGGUGAUGUAUUUAAUGAUGUGAUAGAUUACAUGUUGAGGGAGUUAAAUGACAGAUUUUUAGAGCGAAGAGUUGAACUUCUUAUUCUUAGCUCAGCAUUGGAUCCUUAUAAUUCCUUCAAAUAAUUCAAAAUUGAGCAUCUACAUAAACUUGUUGAGAAAUUCUAUCCUACUGAUUUCAGUCCAAGUGACUUGAAAGCUUUAGAAAUUGAGUUGAAGUAUUUUCAAAAUGAUAUGCAUUGCCUUCCCUACUUUAAGGACCUCAGCACUCUUCCUCAGUUAUGUCAACAAUUGGCGGAAACAACUUUAGCAGAAAACUACUAUUUGCUUUACAUGUUGAUUCAGUUGGUGUUGACUCUUCCUAUUUCUACAGUAACAACGGAACGAGCUUUUUCAUGUAUGAGAAUUAUUAAGAAUAGACUUCGGAGCACCAUAGCUGAUGAAUUCCUUGCUGAUUGCAUGAUUCUCCACAUUGAAAGAAAGUUUGCUAAUAAUAUCGACAAUGAAGAUAUAAUUGAGGAAUUUAAAAUUUCUAAGCCUUAUAGGGUAAAGUUUUAGAUUUAAAUAGUUUAUUUUGUAUUACAUUGCAUUUACUUCUUGUUUUUUUUUGUUAAGCUUUUAUUUAUGUAUAGAUAUGCAUAUUUGAGGGUAAGGCUCAUUACGUCCCCCCUGACUAGGUGUAUCUUUUUAUUUUUAUGAAUAAAAUUCAUUCGUACCGUUGACUUUUUAAGGUAAGUUUCGCCUACUUGACUUUUGAAUCUUGGAUCCGCCACUGAUGGUGAUACCACUAUUAUUGCUUAAGUGCAUUCAUCCACAACAGAAUCCACUCACUAAACUAAAGUUGAAUAAAAGAAGUGAUACAGUGGUGAUAAAGCAGUGAUAAAAUGGUGAGAAAGAAGUGAUACAGUAGUGAUAAAGGAGUGAUACAAAAUGCUGAUUGUAUUUACCUUUAGCUUCUUGUUUUAUAUUUAAAUAAUAAAAUAAAUAUAAAUAUCGGAUCGGUACGGGUUUUCGUCAGGUUAGGAAUUUUGUUUUCGUUAACCAAACCAAACAUUUCGGUACGGAUCGGAUCAGAAUAAUUAAAAUUAAAAAAUAUUUAUUUAAUCAAACCAAACCAAACCGUCGGUACGAUAUGAUGGUACACGAAUAAUUCGGAUAAGAUGUCUACCCCUGUAUAUAUACAUAAAGAGACACCUAAAAACAAACGGUACUUCUUAGUCCAAGCACGUGCAAGAAUAAAGCAUAAAUUCGGGUGCAAGUUGCUCUUUUACAUUAAUAUCCAUUAGUCAUGAUGCUCCCAAUAAUUUGUACUUUAAUGGAUCCUCAAUCUCAAGACACAUUUUUUUUAUACACUUUUGUAAUGGUUACUCACAAGCUUCUCCAUGUAUAAAUUAUUGCAUCUAGAAUGUGAACAUUUUACUCGUUAUAGUUUAGCGUGAUUUGUAACGUAUGCAUAUAAUUAUAAGUGUGAUUUAUCGUAAUUUUAUUUUCUUUAAUAAAGUAACUUCAUUUUUUGCUUUAUCCAAACAACACUGUGCAUGCAUGUCGAUUAGCUAUAAAAAAAAAAUAAUGAACUGUAAUAUCGGAAGUAUUAAAUCUCAAAUAAUAUAAAUACUAACAAAUUUAGACAUAAGAACUUUUUCUUUUGUUAGAUGAGAUAUGCACAACAGCAAUUCAGGAAUUUGCCUACGCUGCCAAAGAAGUUGAACAUGAAGCGUAGAUGUAAUCAGAAAUUUCGUCGAAACUGUUUUUUAUUUUAUAUACUAGUUCUUUAAUAACAUUGCGUUAAUUAAAUUGAAAAGUUGAAUACGACACAAAUUAUUAAAAUAACAAUAAAUUUUUUCAAAUUACCACAUAAGUUAACAAUAUUUGAAAUAUUUAAUUUGCUAUUACCGUUAGAGAUGCAUAUAAAGUAUGAUUGUAAUUAGAACAAACCUAAGAGGUAUGACUGAAACUCUUCCUUUUUACAGUUGUUUCCAAUCCAAACUACUUCGCAAGAAAACUUGACUGGUUUAAUGUUUGCAGUCAAAUUGAUUCACCUGUCAAUGGGUACCAAAGGCCCGAAUGCUACAAACCCACGCAAAUUAAACAAUAUUUUUGAAACUACGUCGGUUUGAUCCCAUCAAGGGUAUGUACUGAUGUGAGAGAGCUUGAAUAGCUCUCCCCUUCUUUUUGUCUAUAAAGCUAACUCCCGACCUUGAAUGGGUUCAAAAGCAAAGUCCAAAACCAUGGGUCCACUGUUCCCUUCCCUAGUUGUAUACUACUACUACUUCAUUUGUGACUUGUUUAGAUCGAUCUUCUUCCCUCCUCAAAACCCUUAUCCACAGUCACAUUUCUAGAUCUUUGAAACUAGUACACCAUUAUCAAUCCAUCACCAUGGUUCUCUCAAAAAUUGCAUCGGAGUCGGAUGUCUUCGUCCACUCAACCUUCGCUUCUCGAUACGUUCGAACUUCUUUUCCCAGGUAAUUUUAGAUUCACAGUCUGACAACAUAAAAUACUUUAACAACAGCAAAAGUCUUGAUAUUUAGUUUCAUCGUUGAUGUCAUGCGGAUGAAUUGGUUAAAUGGAUGGAUGAUAUUUAUCGAUCAUGCAGGUUCAAAAUGGCCGAAAACUCGAUCCCAAAGGAGGCAGCAUACCAGAUCAUAAACGACGAGCUUAUGUUGGACGGCAACCCGAGGCUGAAUCUGGCGUCGUUCGUAACGACGUGGAUGGAGCCUGAGUGCGACAAACUGAUGAUGGCCUCCAUCAACAAGAACUACGUGGACAUGGAUGAAUACCCCGUCACCACUGAGCUCCAGGUAACCCCAUAUCUUCUUUUGUCAUCCUCAUCUCAAAACAUCGUCGUUUUGGAUCCAUUCCCGUUUUACAAUUUUUUUAAUAAUUAAUAUCACAUUUGCUUCAUAAAUUAAUACGUAAUCUAUGAGUGGAGUGGGUAGAAUCUAGAGUGGAGUUGGUGAGAAUUAAUAUACAAUUAACGUAUAAUAUCAUAAGGGCGGCGACUUUAAUAAUUAAAAAAAAGAAAGAAAGCAGAGGCCCUGCUGACAAUGGCGUUCAUUUCAUUAUUUGUUUAAUUAAUAAUAAGCAUGUAUCAUUAAAGAUUAAAAAAUAGAAAUGAGGAGGAGUGAGAUGCCAGCCAGCCAUCCUCCACAUGCUAAGGCCUGAUUUGUGGUUUUUUGAGAAAGCUUGUAAAACUCCAUCGGCAAUUUUCAUCUCUUGUAACAUUGGGAAUAUGAAGGUCAAAUUAAAAAAUAUAUACAUUUACACUUCCAAUGAAUUGCCUUAUUUAUUUUACUGGGCAUUUAGGUCACCCGAGGUAAGUUUGUUUUGGACAAUUACCCUUACGUACAUGCAUUGGAGGUAAGUGCUUCAGUUUCUGAGUUGUGUACUGUACCUAAUAUUCCUAUGCGGAAUGCGGAUAGACUGACGGAUUCUUUUUUGGUCGGUAAUGACUGACUGAUUUUGACAUCAAAUAAGACAAAAUCAUGUUGUGCGCGAAUCAUUAAGAUAUUUAAUUGAGAUUAAAUCGAUAUUCAGCAUGGAAAGGUAGAAAUUAGAGUUGAUUGGGUCCACAGUUUAUGCCGAGAUGCGUGUGGAAUAAAUUGGCUUUGAUUCCAUCCACGAUUUUUAAAAUCAAUAAAAGAAGAUAAACAAGUGGGCAGUUUUAGGUGGGGAUGGAAUGGAUGGUCCAUAAAUUUCUGAUAAUUUCUUCCUUGGUAAAGUUGGUAGCUAGCUUCCGUUAGAAGCGUCACGCGUACAUUGAUUUCUCCAUCCAUCACAUUUGGAUCUAGCGGCAAGAUGUCGAUAUCAACACUAAAAUGUAAUAAAAUAAUAAUUUAAUUUAACAUAUCGGAUGAAGUGUAAAGCUGUAUAAGAUGUCAAAUUACCACAUCAACCAUCAAAUUUAAAUUUGAUGUUUGAUAUUUGCCAUAUCUCUUGGAGAUGUUCUAAUUCGACAAACUAAUAUACUCUAAUUGUAUCUUCCAACUUCUAGGCUGUCAUUUUUGUAACGUUUAACUAGGAAAGAGCUUUUUGUGCAAAUACCAAUUGAUGAUACCCAGGCAUGUCAUCAUGUUAAUUGAUAUGAUUAACGAAGAAAGCUUUUAUCUUGAUUAAAAAUUAAUCUCAACUUACACAUUAUGUUGGAUGUUUAGAGCUAAUUAAUAUCAUGUGUUGUAUUUUUGUGCAUGAUAUAUAUGAACACACAAGAAUCGGUGCGUAAACAUCAUAGCUCAUCUAUUCAAUGCCCCAUUGGGGGAGUCAGAGUCCGCAGUUGGAGUGGGAACUGUGGGCUCUUCUGAAGCCAUCAUGUUGGCCGGCUUAGCUUUCAAGAGGAAAUGGCAGAACAAGAGGAGAGCUGAGGGCAAGCCCACUGACAACCCCAACAUUGUCACUGGAGCCAAUGUCCAGGUAUUUAUAUAUGCUCAUCAUAUUUAUUUCAGCAAUUUUAAUAAAUAAAUAAAAAUAAAAUUCAACAAUGAUUGAUGUUAGGGACAAUAUAUUUUUAAACUACAUAAUUACAGUAAGUGAAUCGAAUUAUGUGACAUGUGUAAUCUAUUAGUUACAUUCCUUAUUUAUUAUGAUUAGUUGAUAAUUAAAACAUCGUCUGCCACAUAAUGUAAACGUAAUUUAAGUAGCUAUAAUCGAAUAUUAGGAAAAUUUAGUACCUUAGCAUUGCAAUCAACCAAACUAAUAUUGUUACUGUAUGGAUUAAUUGAAGGUGUGCUGGGAGAAAUUUGCAAGGUACUUUGAGGUGGAGUUAAAGGAGGUGAAAUUGAGGGAAGGAUACUAUGUAAUGGACCCUGAGAAGGCAGUGGAGAUGGUUGAUGAGAACACCAUCUGCGUCGCUGCUAUCCUUGGCUCCACUCUCAAUGGAGAAUUCGAAGAUGUUAAGCGCCUGAAUGAUCUCUUGGUAGAGAAGAACAAGGAAACUGGGUAUGUAAUCUCUCUCAAUUUUUAUCUUAUUUACUAAUGUGACACAUACCAUCACUUAUUAUGCAUAAAUAAAUGGCAUUCACAUGAUAAUAAACUUAGUUAUAAUCGAAUAAAAUGUUGUCACAUUAGUUAGAAUUCAAAAUAUUAGAAUAAGAUGUUGGUGCUCUCAAAAUUAAUGAGAAAGCUCUUCAAAUAUAUAUCUCUACAAAUUAAGACAAUAUGGAUCGCGUCGAAACAUAUAUCAUUUUUCUGACCAUCUCUUGUCAGAUAAAACGGGACUCAUUUACACAGCGGGUCCUAUAUCUAUUAGUGACUCAUCAGUAAUGUUGAUGUAGUCUAAAUAACAUUACUCGUGUAUACCACCUGACUUUGAUUUUUUUUUUCUUUUUUCUUUCGUUUGUGUAGAUGGGAUACUCCAAUCCAUGUAGACGCAGCAAGUGGUGGGUUUAUUGCACCAUUUUUGUACCCAGAACUUGAGUGGGACUUCCGUUUGCCCUUAGUGAAGAGCAUCAAUGUUAGUGGGCACAAGUACGGACUUGUGUAUGCAGGAAUUGGGUGGGUCAUCUGGAGGAACAAAGAGGACUUGCCUGAGGAACUCAUCUUCCAUAUCAACUAUCUUGGAGCAGAUCAACCUACCUUCACCCUCAACUUCUCUAAAGGUACCUACUCUUCAAACUGUCUUUAUUAUUUUAUUGAUAUAUCGUAGCAGUUUCAAUACACCAUUCACAUUGGUAAAUGUCCAACUGUAGACUGAGUUUUCAUGCUUUCCAUAAUGCAGGAUCCAGCCAAGUUAUUGCUCAAUAUUAUCAACUGAUUCGCUUGGGUUUUGAGGUAGGUAAACUAAUAAUUUAUAAAUGAAUAAUUUAUUCUUGUAAAUGUACCAAUCAAAAACUAUUAAGACAUCUAAUUGUGAUAACAUAAAUACACAAAUGCAAUGCUUACAGUAACCACUUCAUGAGAAUAAUCGAUAAUCCAUUAAAACAGCUUGGUGAUCAUAUCUUCUUUAUAUAUGUAUGACAUAAUAAAAUGAAUUUUGUGCAUGUAAACCAGGGGUAUAGGAAUGUCAUGGAAAACUGUCGCGAAAACAUGAUAGUACUAAAAGAAGGAUUGGAGAAGACAGCGCGCUUCAACAUAGUCUCUAAAGACGAAGGGGUACCAUUGGUGGCCUUCUCUUUGAGGGACAACCACCGCCAUGACGAGUUCGAAAUCUCUGACUUGCUCCGCCGCUUCGGAUGGAUUGUCCCUGCCUACACCAUGCCUCCAGAUGCGCAACAUGUCACAGUUUUGCGCGUCGUGAUUAGAGGAAGGACUUUCUCUCGCACUUUUGGCGGAGCGCCUAGUGAAUGAUAUCCAGAAAGUGUUGCAUGAACUAGACACACUUCCAUCCAAGCUUAGCUCCAAUGUGAAGGCUGCCGAUGGAGAGGAUGGCAAACCUGCAGAGACGAGGGCACUUGAGAGUAAGAAGUGUGAUUUGGAAAAGACAAGGGAGAUCACAACAAUUUGGAGGAAGUUUGUUACGGCCAGGAAGCAGAAGAUGAAUGUUGUUUGUUAGAAAGUG
This 42855-nucleotide long non-coding RNA is filed under the name Prunus persica (peach). RNAcentral describes it as "long non-coding RNA (PPER_LNC002900)". Lineage: Eukaryota; Viridiplantae; Streptophyta; Magnoliopsida; Rosales; Rosaceae. The record is from RNAcentral.